GACGAACGCUGGCGGCGUGCUUAACACAUGCAAGUCGAACGGAAAGGCCCUGCUUUUGUGGGGUGCUCGAGUGCCGAACGGGUGAGUAACACGUGAGUAACCUGCCCUUGUCUUUCGGAUAACUUCAGGAAACUGGGGCUAAUACCCGAUAGGAGCUCCUGCUGCGUGGUGUGCAUUGGAAAGUUUCGGCUGUUGGGGCUAGACUCGCGGCUUAUCAGCUUGUUGGUGGGGUAGUUGCUUACCAAGUCUUUGACGGGUAGCCGGCCUGGGAGGGUGACCGGCGACAUGGGUCCUGCGAUACGGCCCAGUCUCCUAUCUGCCGCAGCGGGGGGGAAUAUUGCACAGUGGGCCGAAGUCUGAGGCAGCAACGCCGCGUGCGUGAUGCCGGCCUUCGGGGUGUAAACCGCUUUCGCCUGUGCCGUAGCGUGAGUGACGGUAACGAGUAAAGAAGCACCGGCUAACUACGUG
RNAcentral lists this ribosomal RNA (468 nucleotides) under uncultured bacterium. RNAcentral describes it as "partial 16S ribosomal RNA". It matches the Rfam family "Bacterial small subunit ribosomal RNA", at positions 28 to 507 of the family's 1533-position model. The record is from RNAcentral.